This 253-nucleotide ribosomal RNA is filed under the name uncultured bacterium. RNAcentral's name for it is "partial 16S ribosomal RNA". It matches the Rfam family "Bacterial small subunit ribosomal RNA", at positions 524 to 776 of the family's 1533-position model. The record is from RNAcentral.
UACGAAGGGGGCUAGCGUUGCUCGGAAUCACUGGGCGUAAAGCGCACGUAGGCGGCUUGUUAAGUCAGGGGUGAAAUCCUGGAGCUCAACUCCAGAACUGCCUUUGAUACUGGCGAGCUUGAGUCCGGGAGAGGUGAGUGGAACUGCGAGUGUAGAGGUGAAAUUCGUAGAUAUUCGCAAGAGCACCAGUGGCGAAGGCGGCUCACUGGCCCGGUACUGACGCUGAGGUGCGAAAGCGUGGGGAGCAAACAGG